CUUCUAUCAUUCUUUAACACAACUCUCAUACACACAUAUGUAAAUCAAAAUUCAUAAAUAAAAACAUUCUGAAGAAGAUAUGAACAAUAGCCAUCAAGCGACAAGGAGAAAACUCAUUGUCAUACUCAUUCUCACAUUGUACGUAAAUUCUUAAUUAUUGUUUCUGAAUCAACUAAUAAUUUACGAUCUACAACAGACACUCGAAGCACAACUGAAUAACAAAUUGAAGUGAAAAAGUAAAAUAUAAAAAAAAAUAGACAAUUUAGGUAUAAGCAUAAAGUGUAAACCCAAUAAAAACUACAAAAUCAAAA
Molecule: long non-coding RNA, 311 nt
Organism: Drosophila sulfurigaster albostrigata
Lineage: Eukaryota; Metazoa; Arthropoda; Insecta; Diptera; Drosophilidae
Exons: 2
Source: RefSeq, a predicted model, not a curated record